Molecule: ribosomal RNA, 478 nt
Filed under: uncultured bacterium
Lineage: Bacteria
Description: partial 16S ribosomal RNA
Rfam family: Bacterial small subunit ribosomal RNA
Source: RNAcentral
GACGAACGCUGGCGGCGUGCUUAACACAUGCAAGUCGAACGGUAAGGCCCUUCGGGGUACACGAGUGGCGAACGGGUGAGUAACACGUGGGUGAUCUGCCCUGCACUUCGGGAUAAGCCUGGGAAACUGGGUCUAAUACCGGAUAGGACCACUGCCUGCAUGGGUGGUGGUGGAAAGCUUUUGCGGUGUGGGAUGGGCCCGCGGCCUAGCAGCUUGUUGGUGGGGUGAUGGCCUGACAAGGCGACGGCGGGUAGCCGGCCUGAGAGGGUGACCGGCCACACUGGGGCUGCGAUACGGCCCAGACUCCAACGGGAAGCAGCAGGAGGGAAUAUUGCACACUGGUCGCAAGCCUGAUGCAGCGACGCCGAGUGAGGGAUGGCGGCCUUCGGGUUGUAAACCUCUUUCAGCACCGACGAAGCGCAAGUGACGGUAGGUGCAGAAGAAGGACCGGCCAACUACGUGCCAUCCGCCGCCGUAA